GGCCAGAGAUCAGACCGCGUGCGUCCGACCCGGGAGCCCACUCCCCGCAUUCAGUUACUAUCAUUUUGGUCCUUCGUGGAGAACUUCUUGGGCUCCUUCCGGAGGCUUUUGUAGGAGCAGGAUGGAAGGGGGCCGCGCUGACCUCUUCUCUCUCACCUAGCACAGAGCUUCCCUUUCACGUGGAAGUAUCAGCCCUCCCUGACCCGACAGACCCCAGGUCCCGUGAACACCGUCUCUCUCAGGUCCCUUGAUCAGACUGUUGCCAGUGCCUCCUGCUCCUGCGGCGAGGUAGUCCCAGAUCCUGGCUGGCUUUCUACUUUGGAAAGGGUGCCAGAAGUCUCGCAGUUCUCAGAAAACUUCAGGGGCAGGGAUUCUCAAACUCGCCUGGGUAUGAGAAUCACCUGGAGAGCUCAGUCAGGGGUCCAGGCUCAUCGAUACCUGGGUCUUUGUAGUUGAUCGGGUUCUCGGGUGGUUCUCACUCCCACCAAAGCCUGAGAGCCUGUGGGGCCCUAGGUUCCUUGCACUGGCCAGCCUCUUGCUCCUCCUGCCUGUCCCCACCUGGGAUGUGAUUCCUCUUCUUCACCACCUCUGAUCACUGACCUGAGUGGUCAUGGCAGAAGUGACCCAGCCCUCUCUGGGGGUAUAGGCUAUGAGCUGGGCCGGGCCGUAGCCCUCCACAAACCAGUCCUGUGCCUGUUUCGCCCACAGUCUGACCGAGGUGGCUGCCUCUCCUGACCCAACUGUUUGACUUCACCCCAGUGUAUGAAAUUCUCCUGACCCCAGACUUGCUCUAGUACCUUUCCUGCCUCUUAGCCCAGUACAGACACACGGUGUGUUUUCAAUUCUAGCUUUAUGUCUGUGUGAGUGUGCAGGUGGGUGCGCGUCAGAAAUAAUCUUCUUAGCACCCCGCUUCACUUCAAGAUGUAGAGCCCUUUAAAGGUCUGCAGGCCCCCAAGAGAAGGAUACUACAUAACGCCCUCAAGCGCCCCGCAGGAACAUUCAGGAGUUUGGAGGAAGCUGGUCUUGGGAGGUUGCCAUUCCUCUGUCACUGAUGCUGUACUGGACACCUAAGUAUCCACUGAUGGAUGAAUGCACAAAGGAAAUGUGUAUGUGUAUAUAGUGUGUAUGGAUACACACACACAC
Bos taurus (domestic cattle) is the source of this 1143-nucleotide long non-coding RNA. Lineage: Eukaryota; Metazoa; Chordata; Mammalia; Artiodactyla; Bovidae. The record is from Ensembl.